Molecule: long non-coding RNA, 1923 nt
Organism: Venturia canescens
Lineage: Eukaryota; Metazoa; Arthropoda; Insecta; Hymenoptera; Ichneumonidae
Exons: 2
Source: RefSeq, a predicted model, not a curated record
UGCACUCCACCCCCGCGCAACGACAGCGCAUUGCAACCGCUGCAGGAAAAAAGCUUGUAGAAUCGUCGAGAAAAUUCCGCCCUUGCCAUAUUUCUCACUUCGUAUCUUCCCCAUUAUUUAUGUGGCUCUCGGAAAUAUUUUUGUUGUGCCAGUGAACAGUGAGUUCGUAAAGUAAAAAUAUCAUGGUCGAUGGUGAAAGAGGAAUAAAAAAAAAAAAAAAACAAUGCAUUCAAAUGAAACCGAAGAAGAACAAGAAAUUAAAUUCUGAAAAAAAUCGUCAUUGGUUUUUUGUUUCUCCACGAAACCCCGCAUUCUUUCAAUAAUUAUUCUCGCACUUGUUACUGAUUUUGUGAAUAUUCGUGUUGGGUCAUCAUUGAAGAUUUUCCAUAAAAUUUCAAUCGGUAGGUAUCAUAAAUUAUGAUCUCAAGAAAUCGAAAGUUCCGGAAUAAAAAAUUGAAAAGGUUUACGGUCUCCGUGGAUGCCCAGGACCCCCGGGGGACUCUCUAUCCUUUCGUAAAUAAAAAAUGAAAAAAUAUCUCCGCGGGGCCCUGCAGUACACGAAGAGGGCAGUGAAUCCAGCAGCACACAUGAGACGGGACUAUCGGAUAAAUGAAUCGAACGAUCCUGGAUGCUGUAUACAUAUGGACGCGAUGAUUUAAUGGAAUAUAAUACUUUCCACGUCAAAUUGGUCUCGUGAACUCGGACACGUUGAAGCAUUGAAAUUUUUUAAGUAACUCAAAGUAUUAAAUAAAAUUUCAACUGAAUAUUUCUCGUGAAACAUCUGCGUGAUUCGCUCGAAUUUAAUGCGUUGUUCGAAGGUCAAAAUUGUCACAGAAUAUGGAAAGUAGUGUAUAAAUUAAUGAAAAUAUCAAUUGUUUGGGUAUGAAACUCUCCGUGUUUUUAGAGCGUUGCAUCUCACUCGAGCCCCGCGGGAGUAUAAAGUAUAAUAAUUUCUGGCGAAUAUAAAUUGGUCGCCCACACGCUCUCGCAUCGAAGAAUACCAUUGCCUCGCGAUAAAAUGUUUCAUUCGCUUAUUUAAAAUCAAUUAACGGUUUGUUUAUUCAUUUUUUAUUUACUCUCGUAAUGAAACAAUAAAUGGUUGUUGAAUGUUUUCUUUUUUAAUUGACUCGGAAAACACAAAAAUUUAUGUGGUUCCGGCCGGGAUCGAACUGGCGACCUUCUGCGUGUAAAGCAGACGUGAUAACCGCUACACCACGGAACCAACUUGUUUUUUGGUAUAUUUUUAUUGUUUAUGGGUUAGUGAAAUUUUAGGUAUUGACACUAAUUAAUUUGGUUAAUUUCAAGACGUUAGGAAAAAUACAAUUGACCAAAGAAUUAAUUAAGUUAAUAAAUUUAAGUUGGAAUCGCACAUUUGAACUUCAGAUACCAAUUGAGCUGGGCUCAUCACUCAUGGAUUACCGACGGAUGGUAACUUUCUCGGCUGGUAAAAAACGAACGUAUUACAAACUAGCAUCUUUGCCAGAAACUUUUCUACCGAAAAAUUCAUUGAUAACGAAAAAAAACAAGUGAAAAGUCAAGUUAAAUUUACUGAUCAAAGUAAAAACUCACUUUGAACAAUAAAUUCAAUUUUUCCAAUACUAGAAUUUACCAAUUUCUAAUACCAGAAGCACAUUUUACCAGAAUAUUUCUAUCGGUGAAUGUAUAAAUCGAAACAACUGUACCAUGGAAGUAAAUAAUUUUUAAAAAAUGUAUACGACGCAACAUAUUUACUCCAUAUAAAAUUUCUGUCAUAUUACGUAGGGUGUCAAUGAAUUUUGGUAGAGUUGUUUCUGGUAGAGAUAUAAACGUGCCGUAUUACACAAAGAUAUAUUACUUUCUUUAAUCUGAAUUCAUUUUUUGAACAAUAAUUAUAUGCUGUGUAUGAUUGGAUGAAGAAGGAAUAAUAACAUUGGAGAAAAGUUA